Molecule: non-coding RNA, 238 nt
Filed under: Mesobacillus subterraneus
Lineage: Bacteria; Bacillati; Bacillota; Bacilli; Caryophanales; Bacillaceae
Description: Bacillus subterraneus T-box sequence
Rfam family: T-box leader
About the family: Uncharged tRNA acts as the effector for transcription antitermination of genes in the T-box leader family.
Source: RNAcentral
AACAUACCGUUGAAGGGGAAUUAGUAGCCGGGAUACAGAUGGAAAGAGAGGAAAUGCCUUGGCUGUAAGCAUUUCUGCAUGAUGACCUGGUGAAUGAACACUCCGGAGGGUUUUCUCUGAACAUCGGCUCUUGCCGUCAAUAGGAGAAGACGUCGCAGGCGUUAACUGUUAAAGAGGUAGUGCCAAUAGGCGCUUCAAUUAGGGUGGCACCACGGGAAUAUAAGCUCUCGUCCCUUGU